Mytilus trossulus (common blue mussel) is the source of this 1099-nucleotide long non-coding RNA. RefSeq lists it as uncharacterized. Lineage: Eukaryota; Metazoa; Mollusca; Bivalvia; Mytilida; Mytilidae. The transcript is spliced from 3 exons. The record is from RefSeq and is a predicted model, not a curated record.
CAUGGAUAACCCGAAUAAUCCAGUCGUUAUUUAACGAUCACUCAGUUCACUCCAUUAACCAAUUCCUCGAGAAAAGUAUUGGAUAGGGGGCGCUGAAUUAUUCGAGUUAGUACAUGGAGGAAAGGUCUAUUUAAAAUGUUAUUCAAAGAUUAGAAGCGACGAUUCAAUUUCUAUUUGUGUAUUGUAUCUGUCAUGGUUGAAACGGCACCAGUAACAUAUCAGGAUAGACAACAGAAGUCUAGUGAGAAAAAUGUUAUGAAACACCAGCAAAAAAGACUAGAUUGUUAUUCAGUCCUAACUUAUACAGUGUUUCUGAAGAUGGAGAUUAGAUCAGGCCUAUCCAGAAGCAAGAAAAAGGACAAUUGUUAACACGUACAUCUACAGAGAGAGACAUGUUUUAAAAAUAGAUUUAUUUUCAAUUUAAGAAAAAACUGUUUAACUUUUACUAUUUUGUAUCUGUUUAUUUUACAUUUAUAUGUUGAUAUUUUGUUUUUUAAAAUUGCUGCACAGUAUUUCUAUUCAGUCCCACAUAACAAAAUCAGCUGAAGAAAUUGAUAUUUUCAUAUUUCAAGGGAGUGUCCUUUUGCAUUGUUGAUAGCAGAUAUAUGUAUUGUCUUAAGUUGGGUUUAAAAACAGUCAGAUCGCAACUUCAAAUAAUAUAAAAUACUUUUUUAUGAAUGUUAUAUGUCUUUAAAUAGACAUGAAAGAUAGAAAAUUAUAUAGGAACACAUUUUUUCUAUGACCUAACUGUAUUGUCAUGGUAAAUUUAUUAUGUGAACAUAUCAAAUAUUAUCAAAAACGCCGCUGGUUUAAUUUAAAAUAAAAUUAUUCUAUGUAGCCUAAUGUCAUCAUACAGAUCAGUGUAUUUUUUCCUAAACAAAUUUUACAUAUUUUUAUAACCAGAAUAAAUUUAUUCUGUGUCUCAACCUUAACAUUAUUACUGGACUAUCAAAAUAAAUUUAUUUUAUUUAUCAUAAAACUUUUAAUCCACAUUGAAUGUAGAAUAAAUUUAUUCUGUGUCGCCACCUUAAUAUGAUAACUGUACUUUCAGAAUAAAUUUAUUUUAUAUAUUAUUAUACAAGACAAAAAUCAAUCACAU